RNAcentral lists this ribosomal RNA (449 nucleotides) under uncultured organism. RNAcentral's name for it is "partial 16S ribosomal RNA". It matches the Rfam family "Bacterial small subunit ribosomal RNA", at positions 334 to 799 of the family's 1533-position model. The record is from RNAcentral.
CACUCCUACGGGAGGCAGCAGUGGGGAAUAUUGGACAAUGGGCGCAAGCCUGAUCCAGCCAUGCCGCGUGAGUGAUGAAGGCCCUAGGGUUGUAAAGCUCUUUCACCGGUGAAGAUAAUGACGGUAACCGGAGAAGAAGCCCCGGCUAACUUCGUGCCAGCAGCCGCGGUAAUACGAAGGGGGCUAGCGUUGUUCGGAUUUACUGGGCGUAAAGCGCACGUAGGCGGACUAUUAAGUCAGGGGUGAAAUCCCGGGGCUCAACCCCGGAACUGCCUUUGAUACUGGUAGUCUUGAGUUCGAGAGAGGUGAGUGGAAUUCCGAGUGUAGAGGUGAAAUUCGUAGAUAUUCGGAGGAACACCAGUGGCGAAGGCGGCUCACUGGCUCGAUACUGACGCUGAGGUGCGAAAGCGUGGGGAGCAAACAGGAUUAGAUACCCGAGUAGUCCCAUG